Molecule: ribosomal RNA, 301 nt
Filed under: uncultured bacterium
Lineage: Bacteria
Description: partial 16S ribosomal RNA
Rfam family: Bacterial small subunit ribosomal RNA
Source: RNAcentral
CAGCAGCCGCGGGAAUACGUAGGGUGCAAGCGUUAAUCGGAAUUACUGGGCGUAAAGCGUGCGCAGGCGGUUAUAUAAGACAGAUGUGAAAUCCCCGGGCUCAACCUGGGAACUGCAUUUGUGACUGUAUAGCUAGAGUACGGCAGAGGGGGAUGGAAUUCCGCGUGUAGCAGUGAAAUGCGUAGAUAUGCGGAGGAACACCGAUGGCGAAGGCAAUCCCCUGGGCCUGUACUGACGCUCAUGCACGAAAGCGUGGGGAGCAAACAGGAUUAGAUACCCGGGUAGUCCCUGUCUCUUAUAA